CGUAGGGUGCGAGCGUUAAUCGGAAUUACUGGGCGUAAAGCGUGCGCAGGCGGUUUAGUAAGACAGGCGUGAAAUCCCCGGGCUCAACCUGGGAACUGCGCUUGUGACUGCUAAGCUAGAGUACGGCAGAGGGGGGUGGAAUUCCACGUGUAGCAGUGAAAUGCGUAGAGAUGUGGAGGAACAUCAAUGGCGAAGGCAGCCCCCUGGGUCGAUACUGACGCUCAUGCACGAAAGCGUGGGUAGCAAACAGGAUUAGAUACCCUGGUAGUCCACGCCCUAAACGAUGUCAACUAGGUGUUGGGUGGGUAAAACCAUUUAGUACCGGAGCUAACGCGUGAAGUUGACCGCCUGGGGAGUACGGCCGCAAGGUUA
RNAcentral lists this ribosomal RNA (372 nucleotides) under uncultured organism. RNAcentral's name for it is "bacterial SSU rRNA". It matches the Rfam family "Bacterial small subunit ribosomal RNA", at positions 526 to 896 of the family's 1533-position model. The record is from RNAcentral.